AGUGAACGCUGGCGGUAGGCCUAACACAUGCAAGUCGAACGGCAGCACAGUAAGAGCUUGCUCUUGCGGGUGGCGAGUGGCGGACGGGUGAGGAAUACAUCGGAAUCUACUUUUUCGUGGGGGAUAACGUAGGGAAACUUACGCUAAUAACGCAUACGACCUACGGGGGAAAGCAGGGGAUCUUCGGACCUUGCGCGAUUGAAUGAGCCGAUGUCGGAUUAGCUAGUUGGCGGGGUAAAGGCCCACCAAGGCGACGAUCCGUAGCUGGUCUGAGAGGAUGAUCAGCCACACUGGAACUGAGACACGGUCCAGACUCCUACGGGAGGCAGCAGUGGGGAAUAUUGGAUAAUGGGCGCAAGCCUGAUCCAGCCAUACCGCGUGGGUGAAGAAGGCCUUCGGGUUGUAAAGCCCUUUUGUUGGGAAAGAAAAGCAGCAGGUUAAUACCCCGCUGUUCUGACGGUACCCAAAGAAUAAGCACCGGCUAACUUCGUG
This 492-nucleotide ribosomal RNA is filed under the name uncultured bacterium. RNAcentral's name for it is "partial 16S ribosomal RNA". It matches the Rfam family "Bacterial small subunit ribosomal RNA", at positions 29 to 507 of the family's 1533-position model. The record is from RNAcentral.